Molecule: long non-coding RNA, 630 nt
Organism: Glycine soja
Lineage: Eukaryota; Viridiplantae; Streptophyta; Magnoliopsida; Fabales; Fabaceae
Exons: 4
Source: RefSeq, a predicted model, not a curated record
AACUUUUUCUGAAUUUUUAAAAUUAAAAAAAUCCUGAAAGGAUAGGGAACACGUUAUUCCCUCUUCGGUCUCUCCGUUCUUUCACGCGACUUCCCUCUUCAACAACGCCACUCCCUUUAUCACGCCGGAGGCACGACGAAGGUGACGACCGGAGGACGGCGCUUCCUACUUCGUUUUUCGGCACGGUCCGAGUUCUCUCUUCACUCUUCAGUCUUCUCUCUCCCUUUUCCGGCACUGUCCGAGGCGGUCUCACUUCUCUCUCCCUUUUCCGACGAGGUCACCAUUGUUUGCUGAUAAAAAAUGAGUUUCUACUUAUCAAUAUUGGUCUUACAUCCCUCAUUUUUUGUCAUCCUACUGAUUGUCUUAUGUAGGUGUUCAUUCAAUUAUUUCUUUGAUUCUUGCUUUCAUUUUGGACCGUGCUGCUCAUCAUCACAGAUGGAUCGAAGUUGGAUGAAUGAAAGUCGCAUCAGCCCAGAAUAUGAGGAAGGCGUCGAGCAAUUCUUACAAUUUGCUUCACAAAGAGGUCAACCGGAUGAAGAUGGAAAAUAUUAUUGUCCUUGCAUCAAUUGUUUGAACGGAAGACGACAAAUACUGGAUGACAUACGAGAGCAUCUGUUGUGUGAUGGAAUU